RNAcentral lists this ribosomal RNA (328 nucleotides) under uncultured bacterium. Its description in RNAcentral is "bacterial SSU rRNA". It matches the Rfam family "Bacterial small subunit ribosomal RNA", at positions 18 to 344 of the family's 1533-position model. The record is from RNAcentral.
CAUGGCUCAGGAUGAACGCUAGCGGCAGGCCUAAUACAUGCAAGUCGAACGAGAUUAUCCAGCUUGCUGGAUAUGAAAGUGGCGCACGGGUGCGUAACGCGUGAGCAACCUACCUCUGUCAGGGGGAUAGCCCGGCGAAAGUCGGAUUAACACCGCAUGACAUUAUUGAUGUGGCAUCACAUUAUAAUCAAAUAUUUAUAGGACAGAGAUGGGCUCGCGUGACAUUAGCUAGUUGGAGAGGUAACGGCUCACCAAGGCAACGAUGUCUAGGGGCUCUGAGAGGAGAAUCCCCCACACUGGUACUGAGACACGGACCAGACUCCUACGG